RNAcentral lists this long non-coding RNA (552 nucleotides) under Gallus gallus (chicken). RNAcentral describes it as "long non-coding RNA NONGGAT007906". Lineage: Eukaryota; Metazoa; Chordata; Aves; Galliformes; Phasianidae. The record is from RNAcentral.
CAAAGAAGAAGUGCGCUGAGUGUGAUGCUUUAACAAAAGCAGCAUACGUCCUAACAAGAAAUAAGGUCCUCUGCUGCUUUCUUCAUAUUGCCAUGCUGUCUUCAAAGGGCGCAUGGACAUCCAGGAGAUGGAUGCUCUGCAAAGCACCUAUGCCUGCAGGGAAAGCCGAAGGCGAAGAGCUGUGUCCUGGUGGCUAUUGCUUCUGUAACAACCACUCAGAUGAGGACUUCCCACGUUUUCCUCAGUGCCCCCGUGCUGCAGCUCUUCUUCAGGCUGGAAUGGUUGGGGUUCCUUCUGCAUCCAUCUGAUGUAGUGGCAUCUCAAAGGCUUUGCGCAGGUGAGAUGGGCACCAGGAGCAUGGGGGGCACAGGGGAAGCCAGGACACGAGUCACAAUCUGUACCUACAUGCUGAAUACGUACACAUGCACUGUAAUGCUGUGGUGCAAGAGCUCUGCUCUGAGCUUGGAUUGGAGCCCAGCAGCUUGGCUUCUCCCUAGAAGGAUGGCAAGGACCAGCUUUAAGCCAAGGAAAGAUUCAAAUGGGGAUGCUCAG